Molecule: small RNA, 144 nt
Filed under: Grimontia hollisae
Lineage: Bacteria; Pseudomonadati; Pseudomonadota; Gammaproteobacteria; Vibrionales; Vibrionaceae
Description: RtT sRNA
Rfam family: RtT RNA
About the family: This family represents a bacterial cis-regulatory element known as RtT RNA. The exact function of RtT is unknown although it is thought that it may be involved in changing the cellular response in relation to amino acid starvation.
Source: RNAcentral
AUAUUCCUCAGAGAGAUAGGGUGAAGAAGCCUUGACAGGGUUCAGCCGAGCGAAGCGAGACAACGUUGCCCGGCGAAGCCGAAAAGGCAACGGCCCGAAGGGCAAGGGAGCGUAGCGACCGAGUAAAUCCCUAUCUCUCCGCCA